UACGUAGGUGGCAAGCGUUGUCCGGAAUUAUUGGGCGUAAAGCGCGCGCAGGCGGUCCUUUAAGUCUGAUGUGAAAGCCCCGGGCUCAACCUGGGAACUGCAUUUGAAACUGGCGGGCUUGAGUGUGGCAGAGGGGGGUGGAAUUCCGCGUGUAGCAGUGAAAUGCGUAGAGAUGCGGAAGAACACCGAUGGCGAAGGCAGCCCCCUGGGCCAACACUGACGCUCAGGCACGAAAGCGUGGGGAGCAAACAGG
This 253-nucleotide ribosomal RNA is filed under the name uncultured bacterium. Its description in RNAcentral is "partial 16S ribosomal RNA". It matches the Rfam family "Bacterial small subunit ribosomal RNA", at positions 524 to 776 of the family's 1533-position model. The record is from RNAcentral.